GUCCAAAAAUAGCCCAACAUACAUUUUUGUAAACGACUAAAACAAUGUGGCUAUUGAUUAACACAUCGAUUAAAUCUUAUGUGCAUACGACCCCAAUCGAAUGGUAUAAUGAUGUAGCACUUUAGGAUCAAAACUAUUAGGAACAAUGCUUAAUUCACUAGCAAUGUAUAUAUGCCAUCAUUUAAUCUAAGCUAGAGAAUAUUGGUUUUGUUUUUUAUAAAAUUUAAGUAGAAGACUAACAAAAUUCAAAAACAAAGUGGGAAAUCUACUAAACAGUUUUAAGCAAUAGAUAAAAGAAUAAUUGCUCAGAAUGCCCCUACCUUUUUCAAUUCUACCCUUUCCUAUUUGCCAUUUUUAUUUUUAUACCCUCUUUAAAUUUUUAAUGACCAUUUUACCCCUAUUUGUAAAUUGUUUUAGGUUAACAAAAUGAAAUAUUAAUAUUUUUCACCUAAAUUAUUCCAAAAUAAAUUUUCCGCCAAAAAUUUUCGAAACUUUUUUUGGGAAAUUUGCAAGAAUAACUAACAAAAACUUAUAAAUUAAGAAAGUAACAUAAGACAAAAAAAAUAGCUAUACUCUCUAUAUUAUAUAUAAUAAUGGCAUAUUUACCCCUCUCUCUCCACCUCAUUCUAAGUCUCUCCUUCUCUCCUUUCUCUCUCAUCUCUUUUUCUUUUUUCUCUCGAUCUCUUCUCUUCUUUUUUUCUGUAUCACAUAACAAACAAACGAGAAAGACAAAGUAGAUUUUUCAGAUACCACUUAUGUUAUAUGGUUGCUUGGGUUACCAAGGUUGUAUUUUAGGGUAUAGUUUUUCUAUACAUCCAAAAUAAUAUAGUACAACAUUUUAAUUCUAUCCAAAAUAGUACAUAAUUUUACUUACAAACACUAUUUACUAUUUUAUAAAUUCAAAUCCGAUUUUAAAAAUUCAAACUAUUUUGUAUGUAGAAAA
This 943-nucleotide small RNA is filed under the name Arabidopsis thaliana (thale cress). RNAcentral's name for it is "ATSL287360". Lineage: Eukaryota; Viridiplantae; Streptophyta; Magnoliopsida; Brassicales; Brassicaceae. The record is from RNAcentral.